Molecule: unclassified non-coding RNA, 332 nt
Filed under: plant metagenome
Description: partial contains small subunit ribosomal RNA and internal transcribed spacer 1
Rfam family: Eukaryotic small subunit ribosomal RNA (bases 1-47)
Source: RNAcentral
AAGUCGUAACAAGGUUUUCCGUAGGUGAACCUGCGGAAGGAUCAUUACCAAAGAAGUAACAGAAAAUCCACUUCAGGGAGGCUGGACCUGUACGGACGUCUUGAACCCCUGGUUUGGGGACCCACCCUAUACCUGCGAAACGCCACCGUCCUAGCGGUGGCGGACGAUGAAUCAGGCACGGUGGCCCGUUUACCUUCACAUAAUUCCCUGCGUACCACUUCCACGUUGCUUCCCCGCAAUCCUCACUCAUUGGUGGACGACGGGGGAGGUCUCCAACAAAACGCACCUGCACUCAAUCAGCAGUCAGACGACCAAUGAUAAAUCAUUAAAAA